This 4182-nucleotide long non-coding RNA is filed under the name Triticum aestivum (bread wheat). Its description in RNAcentral is "long non-coding RNA (TAES_LNC002941)". Lineage: Eukaryota; Viridiplantae; Streptophyta; Magnoliopsida; Poales; Poaceae. The record is from RNAcentral.
UCGUAUAUGCAUCUGCAGGUAGCACCAAAGCUCUUUGAAAAGCUGAAAUGAUAUUGGGGCGCUACUUUCAGUGAGUGAGCCUGGUCAUUGGCCAGAACUUUGUUCAAGUUGAAAUAUUUGACGAGUCUGCAAAUUGUCCUGUGACUGUGUUUCGAUUUCAUGAACUUGUAAUAAGAGCAACUAUCUUGACACUGUUUGCAACCAUUGAUUUAUGUUUGGCUAAGCACUGAUGACAACUAUAACAAUUUGAUGUCUGUCGAUACAGUUCUGGUACUGAACAUUUUUCUCGUCGAGAUCAUAUCCAACACAAAUAGACAAGAUUUCAACAACACAUAGCUAAACUGUGCAGGCACCAUGUUAUGACCCAUGAAUUGGAGGUGAUUUCUGGCUAUAAAAAACAUUUGAGGAAUAUAUGUUCUCUAAAUGUUUGAAUCAAAUAUUUGCUUGAAAAUUACAUGAAAAGAAACAACACUUUGUGAUCAUUCCACUUCUUUAUUUGUUAUCUAUACUCCCUCUGUGCUGAAAUAUAAUACAACAACAACAACAACAAAGCCUUUGAUCCCAAACAAGUUGGGGUAGGCUAGAGGUGAAACGGCCCUGCUAUACAUACGACACAUUUGCAUCGGAUGACUGUAUGAUCAUAUGUGGCAGCGCUGCAGCGAGUGUGCAUGCACGAUGGGUUUGGGUUUGGGCUGGACUCUAGGCACGACGGGUUUGGGUUUGGACUGGACUCUAGGCACGGCCAGGAAGGAUCAUACAAAUCGUAUGCACACAGUCGUCGUGUGUGAAGCAAUUCGGAGAGGUGAAACCCAUAAGAUCUCACGACCAACUCAUGGCUUUGGCACAUGGAUAACAAGCUUUCACGCAUCCCUGUUCAUAGCUAGUUCUUUGGUGAUACUUCAAUCCUUUAGGUCUCUCUUAAGAGACUCCUCCCAUAUCAAAUUCGGUUUACCUAUGCCAAAAUAUAAUGUAUUAAAAAAAUUACAAGUCAAUUUUUCUAUGUUUGGCCAUGUGUAGAAAAAAAUAUCAACAUAUAAAAUACCAAAUAAAUAGAAUAUGAAGAAAUAUUACAUAAUGGAUCUAAUGAUACUAAUUUGGUAUUGUAUGUACUACUAUUUUUUCUAUAAACAUUUUUUAAAUGGCCUAUAAACAUUAUCAAUGUACUCCCUCUUCCGCGUUUUUCAAGACUCGCCUUUGACUAUUGAUAAGAUUAAUAGUACAUGGGAUAUAUCAUUGGAAGCUACUUUCACAUAUGAAUUUGACGGUAUGCUUUGUGUAACUUGCAUGCCAUAUAUUAUUGCUCUAACAUUUGGUCAAAAUUAGCUUCGAAAAAUGCAUUAGGCCCUAUAUACAUGGAAGAAGGGAGUAGAAACAUUUUACUUUUGAAAAUGGUUUGCCUUGUAUUUUGGAACAUAGGGAAUAUGUGCUCAUGGGCCCUCCAAGAAUUACAACAUUGUUGUAUCAUUGUGUUGGUAGACUCAAAUCAUACAAGGUAGAAUUCCAUGAUAUACAAUGUGAGUUUUUUCUUCUUCUAAAUUUAAGCUUUGUCGAGAACCAACAAUUUUGCUUGCACGAUGAGAAAGGUUGUGCCUCUAGCUCACCAUGGAUCAACUAUAGGCAUGUACCAUAUUAAUGCCAUUAUUCUUUAUGUGGAAGACACAUUCUUGUCAGUAACAAUGCACAUGUGCUUUUUGAAGAUCUCAUCAAUCUUGAAACUUUGCGACUCCAUUUUUCAGUAGAAUUUGUAUGUGCGCGCGAGAGAGUGAGCGUCUACAUUCUACUUGGUGUUUCUUAAAAGAAACUCUUAAUUGUUGAUGGUUGACAUUAUCGGCAAGUACAAAUGGACAACCACAUUGAUCGACAAGACCUCAGACUGAUUGUGUGCGUUCAUAUGAAUAAGUCCUUGUGUAUUUGUCCGAGAGACUUUUACUUGUUGGAGAGGCAUUGCCGUAGUUAAUGAAGUCACUUAGACUCCGCAUUCUUCUCCUUGAGCCAAUUUCACGAGCUUGCCCCAGAUAUUCUUGGUGGAUCUUGGAAGUGAUCCAUGGUCCUUCUGAAGGAAAUAUGCCCUAAAGGCAAUAAUAAAGUUGUUAUUUUAUAUUUCCUUAUUCAUAAUAAAAGUUUAUUAUUCAUGCUAGAAUUGUAUUAAUCGGAAACCUAAAUAAGUGUGUGAAUACAUAAACAAAUACCGUGUCCCUAGUAAGCCUCUACUAGACUAGCUCGUUGAUCAAAGAUGGUUAAGGUUUCCUAACCAUAGACAUGUGUUGUCAUUUAAUAACGGGAUCACAUCAUUAGGAGAAUGAUGUGAUGGACAAGACCCAUCCGUUAGCUUAGCAUAAUGAUCAUUCAGUUUUAUUGCUAUUGCUUUCUUCAUGUCAAAUACAUAUUUUUUUAACUAUGAGAUUAUGCAACUCCCGGAUUCCGGAGGAAUACCUUGUGUGCUAUCAAACGUCACAACGUAACUGGGUGAUCAUAAAGAUGCUCUGCAGGUAUCUCCGAAGGUGUUUGUUGAGUUGGCAUAGAUCGAGAUUAGGAUUUGUCACUCCGAGUAUCAGAAAGAUAUCUCUGGGCCCUCUCAGUAAUACACAUCAUAAGCUUGCAAGCAAAUGACUAAGGAGUUAGUCAUGAGGUGAUGUAUUAUGGAACGAGUAAAGAGACUUGCCGGUAACAAGAUUGAACUAGGUAUAUAGAUGCCGACGAUCGAAUCUCGGGCAAAUAACAUACCGAUAGACAAAGGGAAUUACGUAUGUUGUCAUAACGGUUUGACCGAUAAAGAUCUUCAUAGAAUAUGUAGGAGCCAAUAUGGGCAUCCAGGUUCAGCUAUUGGUUAUUGACCGGAGAGGUGUCUCGGUCAUGUCUACAUAGUUCUCGAACCCGUAGGGUCCGCACGCUUAACGUUCGAUGACGAUAUAGUAUUAUAUGAGUUAUGUGAUUUGGUGACCGACUGUUGUUCGGAGUCCCUGAUGAGAUCACAGACAUGGUGAGAAGUCUCGAAAUGGUCGAUGUAAAGAUUGAUAUAUAGGACGAGGGUAUUCGGACAUCGGAAGUUUUUCGGGGGGUACCGGGUACUUAUCGGGUCACAGGAAGGGGUUCCGGGCACCCCCGGCAAAAGAUAUGGGCCUUAUGGGCCAAGAGCGGAAACACACUAGCCACAAGGGGCUGGUGCGCCCCCCAUAUGGGCCGGACUAGGAGGAGAAGGAAAGAGGGGAAGGGAAAGGAAAGAGUGGAAUAGGAUUCCCCCUUCCUUCCCUCUCCCCCUCUUUCCUUCCCCCUCCGACAAACAUGGCAGGGGGGGCGCCAAGGGCAGGAGCCCAAGUAGGAUUCGAACCUACUUGGGGCUCCCCUUGGCCUCUCCCCUCUCCCUCCCACCUAUAUAUAUGAGAAGGGGGCGCCUAGCACACCCAAGACAAUUGCAUAGCCGUGUGCGGCGCCCCCUCCACUGUUUACACCCCCGGUCAAUAUUUUUGUAGUGCUUAGGCGAAGCCCUGCGGAGAUCACUUCACCAUCACCGUCACCAUGCCGUCGUGCUGACGGAAGUCAUCUACUACCGCGACGUCUUGCUGGAUCAAGAAGGCGAGGGACGUCACCAAGUUGAACGUGUGCAAAACACGGAGGUGCAGUGCGUUCGGUACUUGAUCGGUUGAAGCGCGAAGAAGUUCGACUACAUCAACCGCGUUGUGAAAGGCUUCCGCUUACGGUAUACGAGGUACGUAGACACACUCUCCCCCUCAUUGUUAUGCAUCUCCAUGGAUAGAUCAUUGCGUGUGCGUAGAUUUUUUUUGUUUUCCAUGCAACGAUUCCCAACAGUGGCAUCAUGAGCCAGGUCUAUGUGUAGAUGAUAUGCAUGAGUAGAACACAAAGAGUUGGGCGGUGAUAGUCAUACAACUCACCACCAACGUCUUAUUUUGGUUCGGCGGUAUUGUGGGAUGAAGCGGCCCGGACCAACCUUACAUGUCCACUCACAUGAGACCGGUUCCACCUCUAACAUGCAACUAGUUUUGCAUAAAGGUGGCUGGUGGGUGUUUGUUUCUCCUACUUUAGUUGAAUCGAAUUUGACUACGGCCGGUCCUUGAAGAAGGUUAAAACAAAAAACUUGAUGAAUCACCGUAGUGGUUUUUGCCGUAGGUAAGAAUGGUUCUUGCUAGAAAGCCAUAGCAGCCACGUAAAACUUGCAACAAAAAA